UGGGGGAUAUUGCACAAUGGAGGAAACUCUGAUGCAGCAACGCCGCGUGAGGGAAGAAGGUCUUCGGAUUGUAAACCUCAGUAGUCAGGGACGAAAGAAAUGACGGUACCUGAAGAGUAAGCUCCGGCUAACUACGUGCCAGCAGCCGCGGUAAUACGUAGGGAGCGAGCGUUGUCCGGAUUUACUGGGUGUAAAGGGUGCGUAGGCGGGAUAGCAAGUCAGACGUGAAAUACCGAGGCUUAACUUCGGGGCUGCGUUUGAAACUGUUAUUCUUGAGUGAAGUAGAGGCAGGCGGAAUUCCUGGUGUAGCGGUGAAAUGCGUAGAUAUCAGGAGGAACACCGGCGGUGUAGACGGCUUGCUAGACCAUAACUGACGCUGAGGCACGAAAGCGUGGGUAGCAAACA
Molecule: ribosomal RNA, 405 nt
Filed under: uncultured bacterium
Lineage: Bacteria
Description: bacterial SSU rRNA
Rfam family: Bacterial small subunit ribosomal RNA
Source: RNAcentral